RNAcentral lists this unclassified non-coding RNA (317 nucleotides) under plant metagenome. Its description in RNAcentral is "partial contains 5.8S ribosomal RNA, internal transcribed spacer 2, and large subunit ribosomal RNA". The stretch from base 1 to 106 matches the Rfam family "5.8S ribosomal RNA", at positions 49 to 154 of the family's 154-position model. The record is from RNAcentral.
CGAAAUGCGAUAACUAAUGUGAAUUGCAGAAUUCAGUGAAUCAUCGAGUCUUUGAACGCACAUUGCGCCCCCUGGUAUUCCGGGGGGCAUGCCUGUCCGAGCGUCAUUGCUGCCCUCAAGCCCGGCUUGUGUGUUGGGUCGCCGUCCCCCUCUCCGGGGGGACGGGCCCGAAAGGCAGCGGCGGCACCGCGUCCGAUCCUCGAGCGUAUGGGGCUUUGUCACAUGCUCUGUAGGAUUGGCCGGCGCCUGCCGACGUUUCCCAACCAUUUUUUCCAGGUUGACCUCGGAUCAGGUAGGGAUACCCGCUGAACUUAAGC